CCAGAGAACUUAGCAGAGAUGCUUUGGUGCCUUCGGGAACUCUGAGACAGGUGCUGCAUGGCUGUCGUCAGCUCGUGUUGUGAAAUGUUGGGUUAAGUCCCGCAACGAGCGCAACCCUUUAUCCUUUGUUGCCAGCGGCUCGGCCGGGAACUCAAAGGAGACUGCCGGUGAUAAACCGGAGGAAGGUGGGGAUGACGUCAAGUCAUCAUGGCCCUUACGGCCAGGGCUACACACGUGCUACAAUGGCGCAUACAAAGAGAAGCGACCUCGCGAGAGCAAGCGGACCUCACAAAGUGCGUCGUAGUCCGGAUUGGAGUCUGCAACUCGACUCCAUGAAGUCGGAAUCGCUAGUAAUCGUAGAUCAGAAUGCUACGGUGAAUACGUUCCCGGGCCUUGUACACACCGCCCGUCACACCAUGGGAGUGGGUUGCAAAAGAAGUAGGUAGCUUAACCUUCGGGAGGGCGCUUACCACUUUGUGAUUCAUGACUGGGGUGAAGUCGUAACAAGGUAGGCGUAGCGAG
This 522-nucleotide ribosomal RNA is filed under the name uncultured bacterium. RNAcentral's name for it is "bacterial SSU rRNA". It matches the Rfam family "Bacterial small subunit ribosomal RNA", at positions 988 to 1509 of the family's 1533-position model. The record is from RNAcentral.